CCCUUAGAUGUCCGGGGCUGCACGCGCGCUACAAUGGUCUUCGCAAACGGAUGCAUUCUCGAAGGAGAAUGCCAAUCUUGGAAUCUAUGCCUUGGUCGGGACAGUUGCUUGCAAUUUUUCGACUCGAACCAGGAAUUCCUUGUAAUCGUGAUUCAUCACAUCACGAUGAAUACGUCCCUGCCCUUUGUACACACCGCCCGUCGCUCCUACCGAUCGAAGAGUUAGGUGAAUUGUUUUGAUCGAUAAGAUUUGACUAUGGUCAACUCUCGUUGUGAAAUUCUGUGAAUCUGACUGUUUAGAGGAAGGAAAAGUCGUAACA
RNAcentral lists this ribosomal RNA (319 nucleotides) under uncultured eukaryote. Its description in RNAcentral is "partial 18S ribosomal RNA". It matches the Rfam family "Eukaryotic small subunit ribosomal RNA", at positions 1470 to 1796 of the family's 1831-position model. The record is from RNAcentral.